UUGGGGCUGGGGAGAGGCGGG
Molecule: microRNA, 21 nt
Filed under: Bos taurus (domestic cattle)
Lineage: Eukaryota; Metazoa; Chordata; Mammalia; Artiodactyla; Bovidae
Description: bta-miR-2374
Source: miRBase by way of RNAcentral